Long non-coding RNA from Apis dorsata (giant honeybee), 1906 nucleotides. RefSeq lists it as uncharacterized. NCBI's taxonomy places the organism in Eukaryota, Metazoa, Arthropoda, Insecta, Hymenoptera, Apidae. The transcript has 2 exons. The record is from RefSeq and is a predicted model, not a curated record.
GCGUGUGCACAUGUCGGAUAUAUCGAGUGAACAGAGAGAAAGAGAAAAAGAGAGAAAAAAGGUAUAAAAUCAGAUAAGUAAAGAGAGAGAGAGAAAGAGAGUAAACAAACGAUAUACAUACCGAAAAUAUAAUACAUACUACAGACCGUCCACAUCAAGGACAAGCUUGUCCGUUAAUAGACGAGAGUGAAGGAAAGAUGGCGCAACACUCGAGGGGAAUUUUGUUCUAACCGUUAAUACACGAAUAUAAGGUGACAUCGCAUGACAGGCUUUAGUUCUACGUGGAUUCGAACGUGCACAUAGAAGGUGCGCGUUCAAUCCAUGAUUGAUACGAGAGAGGAAUAAAAAUGGCGUCGCGCGUACACGCUUCUCGAGUACAUUAGAGUAAAUUAAAUAUAGAUGGUAGAUUACAGAACGAAGAAUAUAUAUAUAUAUAUAUAUAUAUACAUAUAUAUACAUAUAAUGAUGAUAUAUUUUUGACUUUUAUUCUAUACGGUAAGCGGGCUAAUUACGAAAUACGUAAAUUAACUUAUCCCUAGGGAGACAUAACCGGAAGGACAGAUGAAAAAGUGUCUGGAUGAAAAAGUCGCAGUUUUUUUUUUUUUUUUAGCAAAGUUUCGAUCCAUGAUAUUUGAUGACCGUGGACGCGAAGAGGGAAAGGGAGGAAAGAAAAGCGUUGAAAGUUGAAAGAAAAAAGAAAAAAGAAAAGAAAACGACUGUUGUUGGAAAAGGAGGAGGGAAAAAAUAGUGGAGAGAGGAAAUGAAGUACUUAUGCUCGACAUAAGUAAAUGGGUGUUUGUUUUACUCGACGGGGAAUGGAAAACGAUGAAAUCCAUAUUUCUCUGCAGAGGUGAAAGAUGUCGUUUCUUCAACGUGUAACGUUGUCGUUUGCGCGGAUUGUUUCCCGGGAGGAUAGAUGGAAAGAUCCAGACGAAUGGAAUGGAAGAGAAGAAGAGAACGUACGGUGUUGAACGCGAUUCACGAAACGUACCUAGGAUGGAAAUAAACCUGGAUUUUUACAAAUUAUACACUUGUAAAAUAUACAUAUUACAAAUAUACAAACACGUGCAUACACAUUCGAACAGUCACAUCUCAGAAUUAUUUUUUUGUUUAGAAUAUCCGUUUAUCCUGCGAAAAAAAAUGAACGAUUUUCCUCUCAGAUUGUUUAAAAAAAGAAAAAGAAAAAAAUGAAAAAGAUGAGAUUGCUUACUGAAAAGAUACCUGUUUGAUUUUUAAUAAUGUAGCAGAGAGAAGAUUGUUCAAAAUAUAUACAUACACACACACAUACAUACAUACAUACACAAAAAUACACAUAUGCCGUGUUUUCAAACUUGGAACUUCUAGAUAAACGAGCAACUAGCAGAACAAAACGGAAUAAUAGGAAUAAUAAUAAAAAAAAAAGAAUAAAACGAUAAAACGCGUUCGACAUUGAUAGCCUCGACGUUUAAACAAACAGAUGGGAGUGGAUGAGAAGAAGAUGAAGAAAAAGAAAAAGAAGAAGAAUAAGAAGAAAAAAAGUGAAAAAAAAACACGUAACGACGAAAUAAUUAACUAACUUUUUCUCGAGAACUAAGCUAACGAAUGAAUUAAAUAGUAUUUUUCGAGUUUAGAAUUAUAUUAAACGGGAAACGAUUAAAUAAUUAAAUAAAUAAAGUCGUAGUGGUUAAAAAACAUCGUAGAUUACACAGAUUCUUAGCUGGUAGUGGACGAAGCGAAAAAAAAAAAAAAAAGAAACUUUUAAACCGGUUCGACUAAUUGCAUGUUAGUUGUAUUCCAGCCUAAACGCCCUAGUAAUGCUUCUCAUUAGUGUGUCGAUUUUAGAAAAUGAAAGACUUUUUGAAAUCCGUCGCGGCCGCCCGCCGUUUCUCCUUUACGAACACGGACGACGAGCAAAACAUAAGAUAAA